RNAcentral lists this ribosomal RNA (503 nucleotides) under uncultured bacterium. Its description in RNAcentral is "partial 16S ribosomal RNA". It matches the Rfam family "Bacterial small subunit ribosomal RNA", at positions 30 to 523 of the family's 1533-position model. The record is from RNAcentral.
AUUGAACGCUGGCGGCAGGCUUAACACAUGCAAGUCGAGCGGGGUGAUGGUGCUUGCACUAUCACUUAGCGGCGGACGGGUGAGUAAUGCUUAGGAAUCUGCCUAUUAGUGGGGGACAACAUCUCGAAAGGGAUGCUAAUACCGCAUACGUCCUACGGGAGAAAGCAGGGGAUCACUUGUGACCUUGCGCUAAUAGAUGAGCCUAAGUCGGAUUAGCUAGUUGGUGGGGUAAAGGCCUACCAAGGCGAUGAUCUGUAGCGGGUCUGAGAGGAUGAUCCGCCACACUGGGACUGAGGCACGGCCCAGACUCCUACGGGAGGCAGCAGUGGGGAAUAUUGGACAAUGGGGGGAACCCUGAUCCAGCCAUGCCGCGUGUGUGAAGAAGGCCUUAUGGUUGUAAAGCACUUUAAGCGAGGAGGAGGCUCUUUUGGUUAAUACCCAAGAUGAGUGGACGUUACUCGCAGAAUAAGCACCGGCUAACUCUGUGCCAGCAGCCGCGGUAA